This 259-nucleotide ribosomal RNA is filed under the name uncultured archaeon. Its description in RNAcentral is "partial 16S ribosomal RNA". It matches the Rfam family "Archaeal small subunit ribosomal RNA", at positions 748 to 1009 of the family's 1478-position model. The record is from RNAcentral.
UAGGCGUAAAUGAUGCGAGUUAAGUGUGGGGCAUCUACGAGAUGGCCCUGUGCUGUAGGGUAGCCGUUAAACUCGCCGCCUGGGGAGUACGGUCGCAAGGCUGAAACUUAAAGGAUUGGCGGGGGAGCACCACAACGGGUGGAGCUUGCGGUUUAAUUGGACUCAACGCCGGGAAGCUCACCGGAUAAGACAGCGGAAUGAUUGCCGGGCUGAAGACCCUGCAUGACCAGCUGAGAGGUGGUGCAUGGCGUAGACGUCU